Molecule: long non-coding RNA, 1226 nt
Organism: Aethalodelphis obliquidens (Pacific white-sided dolphin)
Lineage: Eukaryota; Metazoa; Chordata; Mammalia; Artiodactyla; Delphinidae
Exons: 3
Source: RefSeq, a predicted model, not a curated record
AGAAUUCUCAAUCGUAAUCCUUUGACAGCAGUUGAAGAUUCUUAUGUUUUUACAUUGCCAGCAUUAAAAUAUCUAGACAUGGGAACAACACAAGUGUCACAGCAAUUGAAAGCAUCGUCAUGAUGACCCUUGAAUUGGAAAAACUGAGAAAUCUCUUCGCUCCACGGAAGCUGUGAGUGGUGGCCUUCACGUAAAUCUGAGACUAAAGGACAACAGGAAGAGAGACACAGGAGGACAUGAGAAUCGCUGACGGAGAGAACCACGGGCAUCCACAUUCAAUCGCAAACAGAGAGUCUACAUUAGUCUCCAGCGAAGCUAAUGUCCACCAGGGUCUAGCCCCACUAACCUUGUCACCUGGUGAAGGAGACUGGAGGCAGCGAAACCCCCAUAGCCACUCUCACAGAAAUCAGGGAGAGCAUCCCUAACAGUCAAACUGAAAAUGGUCAUGAUAUGAAAGAAUAACAUACCCUUUCAGAAAACUGAAGACUGUUCUCUUGCUUCUCAAAAACUUACAAAUACUCUGUGUCCUUCUAGAAGCAUAUUGAAACCUUCAGCCUUAGACGGCAGUAAUGGGAGGGCAUCUGAGCUCAAAACCAUCCAACACUCACACCCUAAGGGUGCUGAGGAUGACCCGUGUCCACCCCUCGGCUGCUGUGGGGCCUGAAAUCCCCUAAUCACUGAGGACGACAGGGCCUCACAGACACUCCACUGGACCACCAAGGGCUUGGCUGGUGGGCUAAAAUCCUUUAUUAAAUACAUGCUUUGCGAACAUCUUCGCCAUUUUCGAUAAUGGAUUAUCUUAUUCCUUGCUCCUUUUAUACACAACUGUUUUUCAUUUUCAAAAGUCCAAUUCAUCUAUUUUGUCUUUUGUUCCUUCUGCUUUUUGUAGAUCUACAAAAUCAUGAUCAAAUCCGAGGUCAUGAACACGGACUCUCAUGUUUUCUUCUACGAGUUUUAUAAUUUUGCUUCUGCCAUAUAGACCUUUCGUCCAUUUUCGGUUCAUUUUGCAUAUGGCAGAAGGGUAGGUAAGGUUCCAACUUUACUCUUCUGCAUGUGGCUAUCCAGUUGUUCCAGAACCUGUGCUCACACUUUGGGAGAAAAUACCUGCAAAUAAUGUGAUCAACAAGAGCUUACUUCUAAAAUACACAAACAGCUCAUACAACUCAAAGAACAAAAAAAAUCAAAAAAUAUACACAAUUUUAGAAAGUCUAACUACACAUUUCUCC